AUUGAACGCUGGCGGCAGGCCUAACACAUGCAAGUCGAGCGAGCGGCGGACGGGUGAGUAAUGUCUGGGAAACUGCCUGAGGGAGGGGGAUAACGACUGGAAAAGGUAGCUAAUACCGCACACCAUCAGAUGUGCCAAGAUGGGAGUAGCUAGUAGGUGGGGGAACGGCUCACCUAGGCGACGAUCCCUUGCUGGUCUGAGAGGAUGACCAGCCACACUGGAACUGAGACACGGUCCAGACUCCUACGGGAGGCAGCAGUGGGGAAUAUUGCGCAAUGGGCGAAAGCCUGAUGCAGCCAUGCCGCGUGUGUGAAGAAGGCCUUCGGGUUGUAAAGCACUUUCAGCGGGGAGGCGUUACCCGCAGAAGAAGCACCGGCUAACUCCGUGCCAGCCGCCGCGGUAAUUC
RNAcentral lists this ribosomal RNA (406 nucleotides) under uncultured bacterium. RNAcentral's name for it is "partial 16S ribosomal RNA". It matches the Rfam family "Bacterial small subunit ribosomal RNA", at positions 29 to 526 of the family's 1533-position model. The record is from RNAcentral.